Molecule: ribosomal RNA, 431 nt
Filed under: uncultured bacterium
Lineage: Bacteria
Description: partial 16S ribosomal RNA
Rfam family: Bacterial small subunit ribosomal RNA
Source: RNAcentral
AACGAACGCUGGCGGCAGGCCUAACACAUGCAAGUCGAGCGCCCCGCCAGGGGAGCGGCGGCCGGGUGAGUAACGCGUGGGAAUAUGCCCUUUGCUACGGAAUAGUCUCGGGAAACUGGGGGUAAUACUGUAUACGCCCUUUGGGGGAAAGAUUUAUCGGCGAAGGAUUAGCCCGCGUUGGAUUAGGUAGUUGGUGGGGUAAUGGCCUACCAAGCCGACGAUCCAUAGCUGGUUUGAGAGGAUGAUCAGCCACACUGGGACUGAGACACGGCCCAGACUCCUACGGGAGGCAGCAGUGGGGAAUCUUAGACAAUGGGGGCAGCCCUGAUCUAGCCAUGCCGCGUGAGUGAUGAAGGCCUUAGGGUUGUAAAGCUCUUUCAGCUGGGAAGAUAAUGACGGUACCAGCAGAAGAAGCCCCGGCUAACUCCGUG